This 253-nucleotide ribosomal RNA is filed under the name uncultured bacterium. RNAcentral describes it as "partial 16S ribosomal RNA". It matches the Rfam family "Bacterial small subunit ribosomal RNA", at positions 524 to 776 of the family's 1533-position model. The record is from RNAcentral.
UACGGAGGGUGCAAGCGUUAUCCGGAUUCACUGGGUUUAAAGGGUGCGUAGGUGGGUAUGUAAGUCAGUGGUGAAAUCCCCGAGCUUAACUUGGGAACUGCCAUUGAUACUAUAUAUCUUGAAUGCCGUAGAGGUAAGCGGAAUAUGUCAUGUAGCGGUGAAAUGCUUAGAUAUGACAUAGAACACCAAUUGCGAAGGCAGCUUACUAUGCGGUUAUUGACACUGAGGCACGAAAGCGUGGGUAGCAAACAGG